Molecule: ribosomal RNA, 495 nt
Filed under: uncultured bacterium
Lineage: Bacteria
Description: partial 16S ribosomal RNA
Rfam family: Bacterial small subunit ribosomal RNA
Source: RNAcentral
GACGAACGCUGGCGGCGUGCCUAAUACAUGCAAGUAGAACGCUGAAGGAGGAGCUUGCUCUUCUGGAUGAGUUGCGAACGGGUGAGUAACGCGUAGGUAACCUGCCUGGUAGCGGGGGAUAACUAUUGGAAACGAUAGCUAAUACCGCAUAACAGUAGAUGUUGCAUGACAUUUGCUUAAAAGGUGCAAUUGCACCACUACCAGAUGGACCUGCGUUGUAUUAGCUAGUUGGUGGGGUAACGGCUCACCAAGGCGACGAUACAUAGCCGACCUGAGAGGGGGGUCGGCCACCCUGGGACUGAGACCCGGCCCCGACUCCUUCGGGAGGCAGCAGUAGGGGAUCUUCGGCAAUGGGCGGAAGUCUGACCGAGCAACGCCGCGUGAGUGGAGAAGGUUUUCGGAUCGUAAAGCUCUGUUGUAAGGGAAGAACGAGUGUGAGAGUGGACAGUUCACACUGUGACGGUAUCUUACCAGAAAGGGACGGCUAACUACGUG